AAACCAGCACCUCAAGUGGUCAGGAGGAUUAUUGGGCCUAAAGCAUCCGUAGCCUGCUCUGUAAGUUUUCGGUUAAAUCUGUAUGCUCAACAUACAGGCCGCCGGGAAUACUGCAGAGCUAGGGAGUGGGAGAGGUAGACGGUACUCGGGAGGAAGUGGUAAAAUGCUUUGAUCUCUCGAUGACCACCUGUGGCGAAGGCGGUCUACCAGAACACGUCCGACGGUGAGGGAUGAAAGCUGGGGGAGCAAACCGGAUUAGAAACCCCGGUAGUCC
RNAcentral lists this ribosomal RNA (274 nucleotides) under uncultured bacterium. RNAcentral describes it as "partial 16S ribosomal RNA". It matches the Rfam family "Archaeal small subunit ribosomal RNA", at positions 473 to 747 of the family's 1478-position model. The record is from RNAcentral.